Bos taurus (domestic cattle) is the source of this 795-nucleotide long non-coding RNA. The record is from Ensembl. Lineage: Eukaryota; Metazoa; Chordata; Mammalia; Artiodactyla; Bovidae.
AGUUCCUAGCAUGCAGCAGCAGGAAGUAAAUACACUUGAUAUUUCAAGACCUUAAGAGUUCUUAGUCAUCCUACAUCUCCAAUCUACCUCUUAAACUUAAGCUCUGGUGUGACUGUGGGAUUCGAAUCUGAACUCUAUCACUUGCUGGUGACCAGCAGCCUAAGAAUUUGUUCAAGGUGAUACAGAAGUGGUCUGACCUUCCUGCCACAGACUCAUCUCACAGCACUGGGGCCUUUUUGAAUCAGUAGGGCAAGUGACAUGGAAUCGAGUUAAUGGCUAGCCCAUCACCUUGACUUUCAGGAAUCCCAGUUCUCCAGUUGCUUCAGAAGUGCUGAUCAUUGUCUCUGGAAGAAUCCAGUGAGAGACAAAGCGAUCGGUAAGGAGUGGAUUUAUUCAGAGAAAUACACAUUCCAUAGACAAAAUGUGAUCUAUCUCAAAAGUGAGUGUACAAUGAGGCCCAAGGACUGCUGCUGCUGCUGCUAAGUUGCUUCAGUCGUGUCUGACUCUGUGCGACCCCAUAGAUGGCAGCUCACCAGGCUCCCCUGUCUCUGGGAUUCUCCAGGCAAGAACACUGGAGUGGGUUGCCAUUUCCUUCUCCAAUGCAUGAAAGUGAAAAGUGAAAGUGAAGUUGCUGAGUUGUGUCUGACUCCUAGCGACCCCAUGGACUGCAGCCCACCAGGCUCCUCCAUCCAUGGGAUUUGCCAGGCAAGAGUACUGGAGUGGGAUGCUACUGCCUUCUCCGAGCUCAAGGACUACUCGGAGUUAAAUCUUCCACCAUCUUGGAUCUAGUUGGUU